UGCCCUGUUCAUGCUUGUAUGUUGUGUGCAUGGAAUAAUGGAAUAGGACCUCGGUUCUAUUUUGUUGGUUUUCGGAAUCUGAGGUAAUGAUCAAUGGGGACAGGCGGGGGCAUUCGUAUUGCGACGUUAGAGGUGAAAUUCUUCGAUCGUCGCAAGACGGACCGAAGCGAAAGCAUUUCCCAAGUAUGUUCUCGUCGAUCAAGAAAGAAAGUUAGAGGUUCGAAGGCGAUCAGAUACCGCCCUAGUUUUAACCAUAAACUAUGCCUGCCAGCGAUCCGCCGAAGUUCCUCCGAUGACUCGGCGGGCAGCUUCCGGGAAACCAGAGCUUUUGGGUUCCGGGGGAAGUAUGGUUGCAAAGCUGAAACUUAAAGGAAUUGACGGAAGGGCACCACCAGGAGUGGAGCCUGCGGCUUAAUUUGACUCAACACGGGAAAACUCACCAGGCCCGGACACCGGAAGGAUUGACAGAUUGAGAGCUCUUUCUUGAUUCGGUGGGUGGUGGUGCAUGGCCGUUCUUAGUUGGUGGAGCGAUUUGUGUGGUUAAUUCCGAUAACGAACGAGACUCUAGCCUUCUAAUUAGGCGUACCCGGUAUCCACAAUCGUGAUACCGGCGAUCAAAUUUCUUCUUAGAGGGACAGGCGGCUUCUAGCCGCACGAGACUGAGCAAUAACAGGUCUGUGAUGCCCUUAGAUGUCCUGGGCCGCACGCGCGCUACCCUGAAGGAAUCAGCCUUUUCCCCUCGGAAAGGACCGGGUAAUUCUAAGGCCUCCCCCCUGUUAGGGAUUGGGUUUGCGGAUGUUCACCCCCUGGGGGGCCGCGGACU
RNAcentral lists this ribosomal RNA (823 nucleotides) under Pochazia shantungensis. RNAcentral describes it as "SSU rRNA". It matches the Rfam family "Eukaryotic small subunit ribosomal RNA", at positions 783 to 1597 of the family's 1831-position model. The record is from RNAcentral. Lineage: Eukaryota; Metazoa; Arthropoda; Insecta; Hemiptera; Ricaniidae.